This 431-nucleotide ribosomal RNA is filed under the name uncultured bacterium. RNAcentral describes it as "partial 16S ribosomal RNA". It matches the Rfam family "Bacterial small subunit ribosomal RNA", at positions 29 to 507 of the family's 1533-position model. The record is from RNAcentral.
AGCGAACGCUGGCGGCAGGCUUAACACAUGCAAGUCGAGCGCCCCGCAAGGGGAGCGGCAGACGGGUGAGUAACACGUGGGAACGUACCCUUUGGUUCGGAACAACCCAGGGAAACUUGGGCUAAUACCGGAUAAGUCCGCGAGGAGAAAGAUUUAUCGCCGAAGGCUCGGCCCGCGUCUGAUUAGCUAGUUGGUGUGGUAACGGCGCACCAAGGCGACGAUCAGUAGCUGGUCUGAGAGGAUGAUCAGCCACACUGGGACUGAGACACGGCCCAGACUCCUACGGGAGGCAGCAGUGGGGAAUAUUGGACAAUGGGGGCAACCCUGAUCCAGCCAUGCCGCGUGAGUGAUGAAGGCCCUAGGGUUGUAAAGCUCUUUCGGUGGGGAAGAUAAUGACGGUACCCACAGAAGAAGCCCCGGCUAACUUCGUG